RNAcentral lists this ribosomal RNA (964 nucleotides) under uncultured Paenibacillus sp. RNAcentral describes it as "bacterial SSU rRNA". It matches the Rfam family "Bacterial small subunit ribosomal RNA", at positions 1 to 944 of the family's 1533-position model. Lineage: Bacteria; Bacillati; Bacillota; Bacilli; Caryophanales; Paenibacillaceae. The record is from RNAcentral.
AAUUCGCCCUUAGAGUUUGAUCAUGGCUCAGGACGAACGCUGGCGGCGUGCCUAAUACAUGCAAGUCGAGCGGAGCUGAUGAGGUGCUUGCACCUCUGACGCUUAGCGGCGGACGGGUGAGUAACACGUAGGCAACCUGCCUGCAAGACCGGGAUAACAUUCGGAAACGAAUGCUAAUACCGGAUACGCGGUUCUGUCGCAUGAGAGAACCGGGAAAGACGGCGCAAGCUGUUACUUGCAGAUGGGCCUGCGGCGCAUUAGCUGGUUGGCGGGGUAACGGCCCACCAAGGCGACGAUGCGUAGCCGACCUGAGAGGGUGAUCGGCCACACUGGGACUGAGACACGGCCCAGACUCCUACGGGAGGCAGCAGUAGGGAAUCUUCCGCAAUGGACGAAAGUCUGACGGAGCAACGCCGCGUGAGUGAGGAAGGCCUUCGGGUCGUAAAGCUCUGUUGCCAGGGAAGAAUGUCGGGGAGAGUAACUGCUCUUCGAAUGACGGUACCUGAGAAGAAAGCCCCGGCUAACUACGUGCCAGCAGCCGCGGUAAUACGUAGGGGGCAAGCGUUGUCCGGAAUUAUUGGGCGUAAAGCGCGCGCAGGCGGCCUUGUAAGUCUGGUGUUUAACCCAUGGGCUCAACCCAUGGUCGCACCGGAAACUGCAAAGCUUGAGUGCAGAAGAGGAAAGUGGAAUUCCACGUGUAGCGGUGAAAUGCGUAGAGAUGUGGAGGAACACCAGUGGCGAAGGCGACUUUCUGGGCUGUAACUGACGCUGAGGCGCGAAAGCGUGGGGAGCAAACAGGAUUAGAUACCCUGGUAGUCCACGCCGUAAACGAUGAGUGCUAGUGUCAGGGUUUCGAUACCCUUGGUGCCGAAGUUAACACAGUAAGCACUCCGCCUGGGGAGUACGGUCGCAGACUGAACUCAAAGGAAUUGACGGGGACCCGCACAAGCAGUGGAGUAUGUGG